This 253-nucleotide ribosomal RNA is filed under the name uncultured bacterium. Its description in RNAcentral is "partial 16S ribosomal RNA". It matches the Rfam family "Bacterial small subunit ribosomal RNA", at positions 524 to 776 of the family's 1533-position model. The record is from RNAcentral.
UACGUAGGGCGCAAGCGUUGUCCGGAAUUAUUGGGCGUAAAGAGCUCGUAGGCGGCUUGUCACGUCGGGUGUGAAAGCCCGGGGCUUAACCCCGGGUCUGCAUUCGAUACGGGCUAGCUAGAGUGUGGUAGGGGAGAUCGGAAUUCCUGGUGUAGCGGUGAAAUGCGCAGAUAUCAGGAGGAACACCGGUGGCGAAGGCGGGUCUCUGGGCCGAUAUUGACGCUGAGGAGCGAAAGCGUGGGGAGCGAACAGG